RNAcentral lists this ribosomal RNA (477 nucleotides) under uncultured bacterium. Its description in RNAcentral is "partial 16S ribosomal RNA". It matches the Rfam family "Bacterial small subunit ribosomal RNA", at positions 28 to 507 of the family's 1533-position model. The record is from RNAcentral.
GAUUAACGCUGGCGGCGUGCAUAACACAUGCAAGUCGAACGAUGAAACUUAAAUGAUUUCUUCGGAAUGAACUUAAGGGGAUUAGUGGCGGACGGGUGAGUAACUCGUGAGUAACCUGCCUUACACACGGGGAUAGCCGGUGGAAACGACGAAUAAUACCCUAUGAAACUAUCACUUCGCAUGAAGCGAUAGUAAAAGUGUUAGCGGUGUAAGAUGGACUUGCGUCUGAUUAGCUAGUUGGUGAGAAAAAAGACCACCAAGGCAACGAUCAGUAGCUGGCUUGAGAGAGUGGACGGCACCACUGCGAGUGAGACACGGAGCAGACUCUCACGGGAGGCCGAAGUGGGGAAUGUUGAACAAUGGGGGAAACACUGAUGCAGCGACGCCGCGUGAUUUAGAAGGCAUUCGGGUUGUAAAAAUCUUUUGUAUAGGAAGAAAAUGACAGUACUAUACGAGUAAGGGCCGGCUAAUUACGUG